Molecule: ribosomal RNA, 460 nt
Filed under: uncultured bacterium
Lineage: Bacteria
Description: partial 16S ribosomal RNA
Rfam family: Bacterial small subunit ribosomal RNA
Source: RNAcentral
CCUACGGGAGGCAGCAGUGGGGGAUAUUGCACAAUGGACGAGAGUCUGAACCAGCCAAGUAGCGUGAAGGAUGACUGCCCUAUGGGUUGUAAACUUCUUUUAUAUGGGAAUAAAAUGUUCCACGUGUGGGAUUUUGUAUGUACCAUAUGAAUAAGGAUCGGCUAACUCCGUGCCAGCAGCCGCGGUAAUACUGAGGAUCCGAGGUUUAUACGGAUUUAUUGGGUUUAAAGGGAGCGUAGGUGGAUUGUUAAGGCAGUUGUGAAAGUUUGCGGCUCAAACGUAAAAUUGCAGUUGACACUGGCAGUCGUGAGUACAGUAGAGGUGGGCGGAAUUCGUGGUGUAGCGGUGAAAUGCUUAGAUAUCACGAAGAACUCCGAUUGCGAAGGCAGUUCACUGGACUGCAACUGACACUGAGGCUCGAAAGUGUGGGUAUCAAACAGGAUUAGAUACCCCGGUAGUC